GAUGAACGCUGGCGGCGUGCUUAACACGUGCAAGUCGAACGGAAAGGCCCAAGCUUGCUUGGGUACUCGAGUGGCGAACGGGUGAGUAACACGUGGGUGAUCUGCCCUGCACUUCGGGAUAAGCCUGGGAAACUGGGUCUAAUACCGGAUAGGACGAUGGUUUGGAUGCCAUUGUGGAAAGUUUUUUCGGUGUGGGAUGAGCUCGCGGCCUAUCAGCUUGUUGGUGGGGUAAUGGCCUACCAAGGCGUCGACGGGUAGCCGGCCUGAGAGGGUGUACGGCCACAUUGGGACUGAGAUACGGCCCAGACUCCUACGGGAGGCAGCAGUGGGGAAUAUUGCACAAUGGGCGCAAGCCUGAUGCAGCGACGCCGCGUGGGGGAUGACGGCCUUCGGGUUGUAAACUCCUUUCGCUAGGGACGAAGCGUUUUUGUGACGGUACCUGGAGAAGAAGCACCGGCUAACUACGUG
This 468-nucleotide ribosomal RNA is filed under the name uncultured bacterium. Its description in RNAcentral is "partial 16S ribosomal RNA". It matches the Rfam family "Bacterial small subunit ribosomal RNA", at positions 28 to 507 of the family's 1533-position model. The record is from RNAcentral.